Molecule: ribosomal RNA, 410 nt
Filed under: uncultured bacterium
Lineage: Bacteria
Description: bacterial SSU rRNA
Rfam family: Bacterial small subunit ribosomal RNA
Source: RNAcentral
UUUGGAAUUUUGGACAAUGGGCGAAAGCCUGAUCCAGCGACGCCGCGUGGACGAUGAAGGUCUUCGGAUUGUAAAGUCCUUUUGUUAGGGAACAAUUUUUGAGCGUACCUAACGAAUAAGAGGUUGCUAACUCUGUGCCAGCAGCAGCGGUAAUACAGAGACCUCAAGCGUUAUCCGGAAUCAUUGGGCGUAAAGCGUACCGAUAGGUGGUUUAGAAAGUCAGAUGUGAAAUUCCAAGGCUCAACCUUGGGACUGUCAUUUGAAACUUCUAAACUAGAGGGGCAAAGAGGAAGCUGGAACGAACGGUGUAGUAGUGAAAUGCGUUGAUAUCGUUCGGAACACCAAUAGCGAAGGCGGGCUUCUGGGUGCCACCUGACACUGCUAGGACGAAAGCGUGGGGAGCGAAUGGG